CCAAGGCGUGGGACUGGAGUCCCCAUGGCUUGACAUCCCAUCCCCGAAAGGGGGCCCGGGUUCAAAUCCCGGCCCCGGC
This 79-nucleotide transfer RNA is filed under the name Thermocladium modestius. RNAcentral's name for it is "tRNA-Val". Lineage: Archaea; Thermoproteati; Thermoproteota; Thermoprotei; Thermoproteales; Thermoproteaceae. The record is from RNAcentral.